AUGGGAAGAGGAAAGAUUGCGAUUAGGAGGAUUGAUAAUUCAACAAGCAGGCAAGUAACUUUCUCAAAAAGAAGAAAUGGAUUGUUGAAGAAAGCUAAAGAGUUGUCCAUUCUCUGUGAUGCUGAAGUUGGAUUGAUUGUUUUUUCAAGCACUGGAAGGCUCUAUGAUUAUUCAAGCACUAGGCACUCAAAACCUACUUUCUACCGUGCUAAUGUAAUUAGCAAGGAAGCCCUCUUACUCAAUGAAUCUGCUACCUUGUUAAGAGCCCUCGACUUAUACUGA
Molecule: non-coding RNA, 282 nt
Organism: Vicia faba (fava bean)
Lineage: Eukaryota; Viridiplantae; Streptophyta; Magnoliopsida; Fabales; Fabaceae
Source: the annotation of a GenBank genome assembly